GGAACACACAAAAAAGAGAUAUUAAGCAAGACAUUCAUGCUGCGCUUUUCCACAAAAUGAACCGUGAACAGUAAAUAAAGAUUAAAUACCAAAAAAUAAUGGAAACAUCUUGACUUUUACACUAUAUUCCAAGUCUUAAGAAAUUAAUACCAUCAGCUUUAGCUAUCAAAUCUCAUUCAGAUGGAUGAUUUCAUAUUUAUAACUGGAGUGAGUCAUAAUGGUCAACUAAGCGAUUAGUCAUCCAGUCCUUCAGCAUCCAAGGUUUUUUACUUGUUUAUCUACAUCUUUUUCUAUUUUUAAUUUUAUAUACUUUAAUUUAACAGACUUCAUUGGUUUUUCUCUUUUUUCUCUUUUUUUUUUUUUUUUGGUUCAUUACAGGUUAAAUGUGUGAAAAUGUAUGCAAAAAUUUUUUAUGUAUAUAUAUAUGUGUGUGUGUGUGCGUGUGUGUGUGUGUGUGUGUGUGUGUGUAUGCAUUUUUAUUUUUUAUUUUUUUACACAUCUGAAUUAUCCAAUCCAGAUGCAAAGAUAAAUAGUAAUGUAUUUGAGUGGGAUCCAUUAAACUGGAAUAGUUGAAUCAUAACAUAGGCAAAUUUUCACAUGUGGGUUUUUUUGUGUUUAAGAAACCCAACCAUAUCCCUCUCCGGCACAUGCUGUCUCCUUUACAGGCGUUGCUUCUUCACGUGAUAUUUUUCCCCGUCUCUCCCUCCCUGCUUGACCCAGUAACCCAAACAGAAACAAGGAAUAUGCUCUACCACUGCCCAUGUCCUGAUGCUGUUGAUUAACCUACUUAAAUUAUCCCAUCUCUCCGGUGUCUCGCCUGGACACAGUACAGCAACUAAUUGGAAACACACUGCUUAGAUACUUCUUAGAACUGUUCUAUUUUAACUCCGCACCAGAAGGCUUUUGAAACGAAUUGCAAAUGGAAGAAAAAGACAUCUUACAAAGUGCAAAAGAAGUUUUGCAGACUAUUCCUCGCCUGACUCACCCUCACACAGAGCGUCUGGCCUCAUGUGAGCCCACGGUCACAUGUUCGCACCUCCCAGGUGUUUGGAUUGGAGCGAAAAGAGCAGGACGGUUCGGGCUGUGGGCGGGAAGCGCUGGAGAGGAUGAGAAGAAGAUGUGGGCAUGGGUGAAAGAGUGCUGUUGUAAACAGACUUCUUUUGUUGUUGCUGUGAUUCAGAGAGCUUCCUCCCUACAGCUGCCGGCCACUGCAGGCCCUGUGCUGUGUUUAGUGGGUUUGUUUGGCUGUAGAUGUGAAGCUCUGUUACCAAUUAUCAUGAUUCCCUGAGUCACUUGUGAGACAGUCGCCCUUAAAGAAAUGCCUUAUUUGGCCUGGUCUGAGUGAGUUUGAGUGAAAAGGCGUGCAGAGGACAAGCAUAGUGUGGGACAAGAUGGUCUCUGAAAAAUAUAGACCACUGAACUCGCAGGAAAUUUAGAAGCCAUGUGAAUAUUUAGAUUAAUUGAUUUUACAUUUCUAUUAUUUGUUAACUUGUAUUUCCAUAGUAUGUACCCAGCUAACAAAAAUGUUUUCCUAAAACUUCAUUUUACCAAUUUGUAAACACUAUGCGAAUGUUACGUGUUUUCUGUCAUUUCAUCUAUGUUGAGAAUAUGUGUGUUAUGGUUGAAAGUGCCUUUGCUCUUAAGAAGCAGCUUACAUUUGUAGAAUGCUUCUGCAAAUCAACAUCGUGUCUUGAAGAUUAGAGCAUUUUUCAGUUAGCAUGUGCAUGUCUGCAAGUAUGUAGGUCAAGACUGAGCCGUAUAAGGCACUGAUGUUGUGCUGGGCUGUAGAAGGGGAUCUGACAGGUUGUCGGCUGCAGGUAACUGGACAGAAGGAGGAGACAGAUUCUUAUCUAAUGGAUAAUCGGGUUAAUGUGCUUGUGGCAGUACUGACCUUCUAGUAUACUGUAUGUGACUAACACUGUCUAGUUCCAAGGGUAAAAGUGACCUUGGAGAGAUUAAAAUAGGUGUUUGGAUUAUGGGGAGCUAGAGGGUCUGGAGACCCCCUUGUUCCAGUUAUAGCCCUUUAAGUUAUCUUUAAAAUGCAGGCCAAGGGGGGCUGCUCUAUUCAGAGAGUCAUUUAGAAUUAUUACAGCAGGAGGUCGACACCACCAUGAUGCUGGACUGUGAUCAGAGGUUUUGUAGUUAACCACAAAGUUGACAGUGUUGGGGGUAAUGCAUUACAAGUAACUUGAGUUACAUAGUUAGAUUACUUUUUUCAAGUAACUAAGUAAAGUAGUGCCACGAGAAUAUCUGAGUCACUUUUUCAAAUACGUAAUGUAAGUUACCUUGUUUUCCCAUUUUUUUACUGACACCUCUUCUGUACCUGUAUUGAGAAAAAUUUGGACUGAGGUGCAGAUUAAAGGGCUUUUACAGUUGCCGAAAAUAUAACUUUGGGGUUUUCGUUAUUGAUAAUAAAUUAGAAAAAAGUAGCA
This is a long non-coding RNA of Cyprinus carpio (common carp), 2432 nucleotides long. NCBI's taxonomy places the organism in Eukaryota, Metazoa, Chordata, Actinopteri, Cypriniformes, Cyprinidae. The record is from Ensembl.